RNAcentral lists this transfer RNA (77 nucleotides) under Lentisphaerae bacterium GWF2_49_21. RNAcentral describes it as "tRNA-Val". It matches the Rfam family "tRNA". Rfam says of the family: Transfer RNA (tRNA) molecules are approximately 80 nucleotides in length. The record is from RNAcentral. RNAcentral also lists the same sequence under 3 other names. Lineage: Bacteria; Pseudomonadati; Lentisphaerota.
GGGCACUUAGUUCAGUUGGUUAGAACGCUACAUUCACAUUGUAGAGGUCGCUGGUUCGAGUCCAGUAGUGCCCACCA